AAGCUCGUAGUUGAAUUUCGAGAUCAAUUUGUUGGUCGUGCCUCGGUACGUACUGGCAAUUUUGAUUUCUCCCCUCUGAAGAACCAUGAUGUCAUUAAUUUGGUGUCAUGGGGAAUCAGGACCGUUACUUUGAAAAAAUUAGAGUGUUUAAAGCAGGCUCACGCUUGAAUACAUUAGCAUGGAAUAACGGAAUAGGACGUUUGAUUCUAUUUUGUUGGUUUCUAGGAUCGACGUAAUGAUUAAUAGGGAUAGUUGGGGGCAUUAGUAUUCAAUUGUCAGAGGUGAAAUUCUUGGAUUUAUUGAAGACUAACUACUGCGAAAGCAUUUGCCAAGGAUGUUUCCAUUAAUCAAGAACGAAAGUUAGGGGAUCGAAGACGAUCAGAUACCGUCGUAGUCUUAACCAUAAACUAUGCCGACUAGGGAUCGGAUGAUGUUAAUUUUUUAAUGACUCAUUCGGCACCU
RNAcentral lists this ribosomal RNA (462 nucleotides) under uncultured Glomus. Its description in RNAcentral is "SSU rRNA". It matches the Rfam family "Eukaryotic small subunit ribosomal RNA", at positions 624 to 1088 of the family's 1831-position model. The record is from RNAcentral. Lineage: Eukaryota; Fungi; Glomeromycota; Glomeromycetes; Glomerales; Glomeraceae.